AACGAACGCUGGCGGCAGGCCUAACACAUGCAAGUCGAGCGCCCCGCAAGGGGAGCGGCGGACGGGUGAGUAACGCGUGGGAACGUACCCUUUGCUACGGAAUAGCCUCGGGAAACUGGGAGUAAUACCGUAUGUGCCCUUCGGGGGAAAGAUUUAUCGGCAAAGGAUCGGCCCGCGUUGGAUUAGGUAGUUGGUGGGGUAAUGGCCUACCAAGCCGACGAUCCAUAGCUGGUUUGAGAGGAUGAUCAGCCACACUGGGACUGAGACACGGCCCAGACUCCUACGGGAGGCAGCAGUGGGGAAUCUUAGACAAUGGGCGCAAGCCUGAUCUAGCCAUGCCGCGUGAGCGAUGAAGGCCUUAGGGUUGUAAAGCUCUUUCAGUGGGGAAGAUAAUGACUGUACCCACAGAAGAAGCCCCGGCUAACUCCGUGCCAGCAGCCGCGGUAAAGUAGACGCU
This 457-nucleotide ribosomal RNA is filed under the name uncultured bacterium. RNAcentral's name for it is "bacterial SSU rRNA". It matches the Rfam family "Bacterial small subunit ribosomal RNA", at positions 29 to 533 of the family's 1533-position model. The record is from RNAcentral.